UACGAAGGGGGCUAGCGUUGCUCGGAAUCACUGGGCGUAAAGCGCACGCAGGCGGUUUGUUAAGUCGGGGGUGAAAUCCUGGAGCUCAACUCCAGAACUGCCUUCGAUACUGGCGAUCUUGAGUCCGGGAGAGGUGAGUGGAACUCCGAGUGUAGAGGUGAAAUUCGUAGAUAUUCGGAAGAACACCAGUGGCGAAGGCGGCUCACUGGCCCGGUACUGACGCUGAGGUGCGAAAGCGUGGGGAGCAAACAGG
Molecule: ribosomal RNA, 253 nt
Filed under: uncultured bacterium
Lineage: Bacteria
Description: partial 16S ribosomal RNA
Rfam family: Bacterial small subunit ribosomal RNA
Source: RNAcentral